UUACUCGUUACUAAAAUUCCACAAGUGGUAGCUUGUUAAAGGCGAGUUGCGGUUUAGAAUCUGGAAGCAUGUCAGUGAUUCAACAUUUCAUACUCAGCUACAUUAAAAGGCAUUGGUCAUCUUGCACGCCAGGUAAACGUGGUCUUGCACGAAACAAGCUGCUAGUUUAGACCACGACUCCCGUCACAUGGGUCUUUCCCUUAAGGCAGCCACCGUGCUUCUGCAUGCGGCCCAAGCGCUUUGUGUGCCUUGCAUUUCAUCCCUCAGAACGAUGAAAUGACUUGCACUCAAGCUGUGGGAUUUGGGAAAGCCGGUAAUAUUUACUCCUUUAUGAGGGACACUCUCCUGUACGUGCACGGAGGUGUCGCCCUGCUCAAGGUUAGUGGGUUACACAGUGCGUGGAAACUUGGAGCCAGCCGAGAAUUCUGCCUACCACAGACACCAGUGCUUUUGCACCAUCAGUGAAAAUGUUUUACCUUGUGAAAACACUGUGACCUCCCAAACUCCUGAACAUGUCUUCGGCAUCCACAGGGAUCCGCUGUUGCAGGUAUCCUGGGCAGAGCAGAGGAGGUGGGGGAAGAGGCCAGAAAUGUGAUGAUGUGGGUAUGAUUUUCCCCAAUCUCCACUCACAAAGAGAACCAGAAACAGACUUUACAAGAGAGCAAAAAGUGUGGAGUUCCUUGCAGUAACGAGCACAGUUCUAGACAGCAGCUGCUCUGAUGACAAAGAACAGAGCCCCCAGUGGACCCCUGACCAGCGUGGAGUGUCAACAGGCAAACACACGUCUUCAAC
Long non-coding RNA from Ailuropoda melanoleuca (giant panda), 792 nucleotides. RefSeq lists it as uncharacterized. The transcript is spliced from 5 exons. The record is from RefSeq and is a predicted model, not a curated record. Lineage: Eukaryota; Metazoa; Chordata; Mammalia; Carnivora; Ursidae.